This 919-nucleotide ribosomal RNA is filed under the name Mortierella antarctica. Its description in RNAcentral is "partial large subunit ribosomal RNA". It matches the Rfam family "Eukaryotic large subunit ribosomal RNA", at positions 172 to 951 of the family's 3401-position model. The record is from RNAcentral. Lineage: Eukaryota; Fungi; Mortierellomycota; Mortierellomycetes; Mortierellales; Mortierellaceae.
AGCCUGGGUAUAAAUCCUUUGGAACAGGGUAUCAUAGAGGGUGAGAAUCCCGUCUUUGACUCAGUGCAUGCUACUAUGUGAUACAUUUUCAAAGAGUCGAGUUGUUUGGGAAUGCAGCUCAAAAUGGGUGGUAAAUUUCAUCUAAGGCUAAAUAUUGGCGAGAGACCGAUAGCGAACAAGUACCGUGAGGGAAAGAUGAAAAGAACUUUGAAAAGAGAGUUAAACAGUGCGUGAAAUUGUUGAAAGGGAAACGCUUGACACCAGUCAUGCGAGCGGAAAAUCAGUCUUUUGCAGUGGGGGGUUGUGUGGGAUCGGACCGCAAGGCCGGCCUAUGCUGCAUCUCUGCUGUAAGUGAUGCACUUUUUCGUUUGCAGGCCAACAUCAGUUUCUUCUGCUGGACAAAACUCUUGAGAAGGUAGCAGCUUUGGCUGUGUUAUAGCUCUUGAGCGAUACAGUGGAGGGGACUGAGGUUUUCGCAGCGCGUGCUUUCGGGCAAGGCUGAUUGGGUGCUAUGGGAUCGUUCGGUGUACAAUGCAUGCAUUUUGCGCCGUGUCUUUUCUGUACUCGCUCAACUCGGCUCUUCCGCGCUUAGGAUGUUGGCUUAAUGGUUUUAAUCGACCCGUCUUGAAACACGGACCAAGGAGUCUAACAUAUAUGCAAGUGUUUGGGUGGCAAACCCAUGCGCGUAAUGAAAGUGAACGUAGGUGCCAUCCGCAAGGUGCAGCAUCGACCGAUCUUGAUAUUUUUGGAUAGAUUUGAGUAAGAGCAUAUAUGCUGGGACCCGAAAGAUGGUGAACUAUGCCUGAAUAGGGUGAAGCCAGAGGAAACUCUGGUGGAGGCUCGUAGCGAUUCUGACGUGCAAAUCGAUCGUCAAAUUUGGGUAUAGGGGCGAAAGACUAAUCGAACCAUCUAGUGUGUC